AUGAAGUGUCCACAACUAAGCAAGCCAGAGGCGACAGCGGCAAGGAACCAAAACUCCAUCGGUGACAGAAUGGAGAAAAAAACCUUGGGAGAAACCAGGCUCAGUCCCGGUGGUCGUCUGAGACAAGGUCUUUACAGGGGAUCUGUCUCUGGGGCUCUAGUUGUCCUGGUCUCCGCUGUCUUUCAGGGCUGUAGAGGUCCUUUCUAGGUGCUGAUCUACCAUCUGGGCUGGAUACAUACUGGAUCCGGGUGACUGCAGUGACCCUCUGACUUGGAUACAGUUUGGAUCUGGUGGCUACGGUGACCUCGGAAUAAGAGAGAAAUAGACUAAUAUGAGUGUAGAUGCCAUUCUUCUAAUGAUGUAACAAGUACAUCGGGUGUUAUGGGAAGUGUUCCCGGUUCCGGUUUACCUAAUUAAUGCAGCCUAAAAAUCCUUUAACGGAUUUGGAUAUUAGAAGUGUAUUAGUAUGUUAUGUGUAAGCCAGGUUAAAGAGAUGGGUCUUUAAUCUAGAUUUAAACUGCAAGAGUGUGUUUGCCUCCCGAAGAAUGUUAGGUAGGGUAGGUUAUUCCAGAGUUUGGGCGCUAAAUAGGAGAAGGAUCUGCCGCCCGCAGUUGACUUAGAUAUUCUAGGUAUUAUCAAGUUGCAGUGGGAGAAAUAUCUUCUCUUAAGGCUCCCUCUUUGCCAUCCAAACCCUUUCAAGAUACACUUUGUUUGAAUGGCAGAGCAUACACAGCAGUGGGUCAGGCUGCAGCUGCACUGCAGCCAUGGCGGUCCUCCAAGCUUACCAGGUUGAUCUGCUGAAAGACAUGGAUAAGGAUCAGGGUCUUUCCCCUGAUGAGUAGCUGAGCUGAGUCGCACCAAAGAUCUCGCCCUCUACGCCAUGAAACAGACCGCUGCUUCCAUUGGCAGGUCCAUGGUGGCCAUGGUGGUAAUGGAGAGGCAUCUCUGGGUGAACCUGGCUGAUAUCGGGUGAAAGAGAAGAGCUAUCUCCUCGAUGGGCCGGUGUCACCUUCUGAACUUUUCGCCACUUCCGUCAAGAUUGCGGUUGAGCAGUUUAAGGAGGCAAAGACUAGCUCUGCUGCCUUUUGAAUCCUUAAUUCAUUCAAGGUUCAGCUCUGAGCCCGAACAACAAGGGGGUCCUGGCCCAUCCCGAUGUAAGGACCAAUGAUGGGUUCAGAAGGGAAGUGUUGUGACUCUUGCUCCUCCCCCACCUGUGGGUAGGACUAGGAGGAGGUGUGAGUCAAAAGGUAAGAGGCACAACCUGAGGGAGGUGAUCAAGACAAGGAGCUCUCAGCGCUUCCAUCCGGACCAGAAUAAAACAUGAACAUCUACUUACUUCCUUCUGAGGUUUCUAACACCCUGCACUCGUCUUCCUAUUCCGAAUUCUCUGUGUGCAGUUGUAUCAGUUUGAAAGGCUUCCCUUCUGCCACAUUGCUGCCUUUCUGGUUGAGUUUGGCAGUGCUCCCCUCACUGUGUGAGGGUUACUUAUGAGCCUGCUGCUCCCAGAGCAAGCAUGUGAGUUUUCUUCUUGAUCUGAGCGCCUAGGAAUCCGCUCCCAGAGCUCCACGAGCAGUCAAGCCUGCCUGCAUGAGUUUGACAACGCCCCCUCACUGUGGGAGGGUCACCUAUAAGCCUGCCGCUCCCGGAAGGAGCAUGUAAGGUCUCCUCUCGAACCUCCCAAUCAGAGAACCAAGGACUCUGCUCCCGGAGCUCUGUGCACAGACAUACCAGGUUGUUAGGUCAUCUUUUUGCCUCCCUCUUAGGCUGCUCCUGUAAUUAAGCUUGGCAAUGCUCCCCUCACUCUAGAGGCAGCUAUACCAGGUUGUUAGGCCAUCUUUUCUCUUACUCAAAGAGUCGAGUACUCCACUCCCUAGAGCUCCAUGAUCAGAAUCAGAAUCAGACUCAGAAGAGCAUUAUUACCAAGUAUGUUUACACACAUACAAGGAAUUUGACUUGACGACAGGAGCUUCCAUUGUAGAAUAAAGUACAACAUAGUGCAGACAUACAUAGGAAUAACAAAGUAGGGAUGUAAUAUAAUACUAAUAUAUAAAAAAGGAAUCAAAAAAUUAAAUAAUUUACUAUAUAUACAGAAAUAGAAGUAUAGGAAAAAAAUAAAUAAAUAAAAAGAUAAUUGUUUAGAUAAAUGUACAGGUUAGGUUAAUUGUUUAGAUAAAUGUUAUUAGUGUGCAGAUAUGUUAUUUACAAAGUGUGCAGUUUAAUAUAAAUAUGUCAGAUAACUAUGUUAGCUGUGAUGGACGUUGUAAGAUUAAUUGUUCAGGUUGAAUAAAGCCUGUGGGAAAAAAAAACUGUUUUGUGCCUCACUGUUCUGGUGGUCAGUGCUCUGUAGCGCCGACCAGAAGGCAACAAUUGGAAGAGAGAGUGGGCUGGGUGUGAGGGGUCCAAGG
This is a long non-coding RNA of Cyprinus carpio carpio, 2405 nucleotides long. NCBI's taxonomy places the organism in Eukaryota, Metazoa, Chordata, Actinopteri, Cypriniformes, Cyprinidae. The record is from Ensembl.